Molecule: long non-coding RNA, 653 nt
Organism: Adelges cooleyi (spruce gall adelgid)
Lineage: Eukaryota; Metazoa; Arthropoda; Insecta; Hemiptera; Adelgidae
Exons: 5
Source: RefSeq, a predicted model, not a curated record
GAAGAAGUGAUGGACAGCGUCGAACAAGUGAAUAGGAUUUUCGAGAAAAACAAAAACUUCAUUCACGGAAAGAUGCGAGAGAUAGUGGAAAAUAAAAGAGUAACUAUCGAAUUGAAUGCCAAUAUAUUGGAAUGUGAAAAGCAAAAAAAAAUACUGAACGAAUAUGUGAAAAGUUCAGAGACCCUGCUGGCUUCCACAAACGAAUUGAGAGAAAUGAUGUUAACCAUAACUGGUAAAUAAUACAAUAUUGCUACAUGUAUUUAUUCGUUUGAAUUUUUUUUAUUGUUUUUUUAAAUAAUACAUCAUCUACCGUAGAGGAAACCUCAAACGUUCAAAAUGCAAUAACAGACGUAAAAAAAGGUAUUACCGCUUUGGUAUCGGAAAAACAAAAGGAAGCCAACUCGUUGAAGAGUAAUGAUAAGAUGGUGGUUUCUUUGAAGAAGCUCCUAUGCGAAAUGUACGAUAACAGUUUCAAUUCGCUGACGGACAAAAAAUCGAAAUUGGCCCAGCUGAAAAAAGAAAACGAACUGACCCGAGCCAUGUUCGAGGCAAAGAACCAAAAGGUACUCGGCUAUUAUGUGGAACAAUAUGAACGUCUGAAAGCCAAGAACGCUCAGCUGAAAGCAUCUUUGGCCAUUCAGCGUCGUCGAGCG